This 320-nucleotide ribosomal RNA is filed under the name uncultured eukaryote. RNAcentral describes it as "partial 18S ribosomal RNA". It matches the Rfam family "Eukaryotic small subunit ribosomal RNA", at positions 1470 to 1796 of the family's 1831-position model. The record is from RNAcentral.
CCCCUAGAUGUUCUGGGCCGCACGCGCGCUACACUGAACAGUUCAACAAGUCUUAACCUUGGCCGAUAGGUCUGGGUAAUCUUUGAACGCUGUUCGUGAUUGGGAUAGACCUUUGCAAUUAUGGGUCUUCAACGAGGAAUUCCUAGUAAACGCAAGUCAUCAGCUUGCAUUGAUUACGUCCCUGUCCUUUGUACACACCGCCCGUCGCACCUACCGAUUGAAUGGUCCGGUGAAAUCUCGGGACGGCGGCUUGGUCGCUUGCGUCCGACUGCUGAAACUUGAUUAAACCAUAUCAUUUAGAGGAAGGAGAAGUCGUAACA